CCCUUAGAUGCUCUGGGCCGCACGCGCGCUACACUGGUCGAUGCAACGAGUUUCUUUCCUUGGCCGACAGGCCUGGGCAAUCUUUGAACAUCGAUCGUGAUCGGGAUAGAUUCUUGUAAUUUUUGAUCUUAAACGAGGAAUUCCUAGUAAACGCAAGUCAUCAGCUUGCAUUGAUUACGUCCCUGCCCUUUGUACACACCGCCCGUCGCACCUACCGGUUGAAUGGUCCGGUGAAAUCUCCGGACUGGCGUGAGUCGGAGCAAUCUGACAAACGCCGGAAAGUUGAUUAAACCUUACCAUUUAGAGGAAGGUGAAGUCGUAACA
Molecule: ribosomal RNA, 324 nt
Filed under: uncultured eukaryote
Lineage: Eukaryota
Description: partial 18S ribosomal RNA
Rfam family: Eukaryotic small subunit ribosomal RNA
Source: RNAcentral